CACUAGCUAGCUUUAAUUAACACAGUUCACUUAAGAUUGCACCCAAGGCUUCGUUAUCCCUAAUCCCGCCUUUAAACCCGCAGUUAUAGAUUCCUCUUAUAUUUUAAGAGUGGUAUUAUUCAACAAUAACCUAAAUAUGCACUCUCUCCCGAGUUAUGCACACUAAAUAGGUACAGCUAAUUGAGGAUCCUGUCAAUUAACUACAACAAGAACAUAGUUGAAUAAAUAAAGAUUGAAACUAAGCUUGUUUAUUGAUCACGCCCAACUAUGCCUUAUAAAAAGGACAAUGCGGUCGUUGCAAAUAUAAUCCGGUUUACAAGUCCGGAGUCGAAUCCCACAGAGAGUUAACCUAUCAAUCACAAUCUUUAGACCCACUAAACUCUUCAGAACCAGCUUCCCAAAUGUUUGAAUCACAAGUUGAUGGUUUCUUUAGUAACUAAGAUUGCAAGUAAAUUAAACAGGCUGUAAACUAAAACGCUAAUGUUGUAAACAAUGAUGAGAUAAAGCUAAGGUAAAGAUUUCCCCUAUUGAUGGAAUCCCUUCUGUUUAUGCUUCAUAUAAAUAUACCAACACUUCUCUAUCAAUCAUGAACGCUCGUCUUACCAUAAAUCUCUCCCGAGUAAUCACAGUAAUAUACUAUUGCACUCUCCCGAGAUACACUAGCUAGCUUUAAUUAACACAGUUCACUUAAGAUUGCGCUCAAGGCUUCGUUAUCCCUAAUCCCACCUUUAAACCCGCAGUUAUAGAUUUCUCUUAUACUUUAGGAGUGGUGUUAUUCAACAAUAACCUAAAUAUGCACUCUCUUCCGAGUUAUGCACACUAAAUAGGCACAGCUAAUUGAGGAUCCUGUCAAUUAACUACAACAAGAACAUAGUUGAAUAAAUAAAGAUUGAAACUAGCAAUUUGUAUUCACAUAAACAAGAAGUUCAUCCCCCAAUAGGUUCCAUCAAAACCUUAGACAAAAGAUUUAGCUACUCAUAACUAUGGGUAAACAAACUAAGAUAAGAUCCAUCAUAAACUAGCAAUCAAAAUCAAAGAAAAGAAGAAAGAUGUUUUGGGUGAUCUCUCACAAUU
Molecule: long non-coding RNA, 1074 nt
Filed under: Nicotiana tabacum (common tobacco)
Lineage: Eukaryota; Viridiplantae; Streptophyta; Magnoliopsida; Solanales; Solanaceae
Description: long non-coding RNA (NTAB_LNC007615)
Source: RNAcentral